AACGAACGCUGGCGGCAUGCCUAACACAUGCAAGUCGAACGAGACCUUCGGGUCUAGUGGCGCACGGGUGCGUAACGCGUGGGAACCUGCCCUUAGGUUCGGAAUAACUCCCCGAAAGGGGUGCUAAUCCCGGAUAAUGUCUUCGGACCAAAGAUUUAUCGCCUUUGGAUGGGCCCGCGUUGGAUUAGCUAGUUGGUAGGGUAAAAGCCUAUCAAGGCGACGAUCCAUAGCUGGUCUGAGAGGAUGAUCAGCCACACUGGGACUGAGACACGGCCCAGACUCCUACGGGAGGCAGCAGGGGGGAAUAUUGGACAAUGGGCGAAAGCCUGAUCCAGCAAUGCCGCGUGAGUAAUGAAGGCCUUAGGGUUGUAAAGCUCUUUUACCCGGGAUGAUAAUGACAGUACCGGGAGAAUAAGCUCCGGCUAACUCCGUG
Molecule: ribosomal RNA, 433 nt
Filed under: uncultured bacterium
Lineage: Bacteria
Description: partial 16S ribosomal RNA
Rfam family: Bacterial small subunit ribosomal RNA
Source: RNAcentral